GCCUUCGUGGUGUAAUGGUUAGCACACUGAGCCGGUAUUUCAGAGGUCCGUGGUUCGAUUCCCGGCGAAGGCG
Molecule: non-coding RNA, 73 nt
Organism: Stegodyphus mimosarum
Lineage: Eukaryota; Metazoa; Arthropoda; Arachnida; Araneae; Eresidae
Source: Rfam